UGGGACUAGUGGGUUCCAGCACCAUUUACAUCUUAAGUUUCAGCCCUUUCCCAUACGGUUGGUUGCGCUCCUUCCCCAUGGUAGGUCGUUGCCUCUUGCCCUUCUCCACAGCACACGCUCCCCCUCUUCACCUUCUCCAUCAUCAAUUAAAUCCCUCUACUCCCCUCCAACAUAAACAGAUGUACUUAAUUCUUCUUGCACACGUAACUGAUCCAGUUUCUCUCAUCAUAUAUCAAUGGAGCCACUCGAGAGAUCAGCCAUGCCCACCACCUGCUGGUGCCCUGCAAGUUGGCGGGGACACAUCUGCACCCUCAACGCCAUCUCCCAUGUCCACACAUGCUUCUCCAUCCUCAUUCUGCAUAUAGUUUGCUUUUGCAAUCAUUUCCCACGGGUUGAAAAGAUGCUAGGUCGGGUCACAUCUGCGGCCUCGAUGCCACCCGAUCUUGUCUUUAAAUUCUGGUAUAAAACGAAAACUCCACUUUACUGAAGAUGUUGCCGAUAAAUCCCAAAGGCAACGUCCAGCUAUGCUACAACAAAUAUACAAGCUUCAAUGCCUUCCAUACCAGUUACUUAUAGUAUAGCAUUAUCAAUAAUUGUUACUUUAAUCGCUACCUAUUGUAACUAAGAAACAUUCUCAUAAUUCUAGAUGUUUUCAGCGGUAGAAAACUACAAAUAUAUUAUGAUGUGAGACUACAUGUAUCUG
Long non-coding RNA from Hordeum vulgare subsp. vulgare (domesticated barley), 703 nucleotides. RefSeq lists it as uncharacterized. Lineage: Eukaryota; Viridiplantae; Streptophyta; Magnoliopsida; Poales; Poaceae. The transcript is spliced from 4 exons. The record is from RefSeq and is a predicted model, not a curated record.